This 1288-nucleotide long non-coding RNA is filed under the name Neogobius melanostomus (round goby). Its description in RNAcentral is "lncRNA (ENSNMLG00000020224.1)". The record is from RNAcentral. Lineage: Eukaryota; Metazoa; Chordata; Actinopteri; Gobiiformes; Gobiidae.
GCAAGACCUCGCAGGUGAAAGUAAUUCACCCUAAUUAGUCAAAGCUGGGGUCAAUCAGAGUCUGUUAAAACUGGCUUUUCAGUGUUUGUGGUGUCCCGGUGACGGCAAAGUCAGCACCGCAGUAUUUUAAACACUUCUGAAAAAUGAAGGCUCCUCUCAAAGUGUCGCGCAGAGCGCCACAGCAGCGAAACAAGAAGAGGAUUCGGGAUUACUCUGCGUUCAUUUUCAAAGCCCGAAAAGAGGUGUCUGCAGGCGGGACGAGGACUUCGGAUUUCUUCCAGAGGCGUGGCAGUUCCCCCAGACCUAUCUUGCUCCGGCUGGUCAGUGCUGAGGCGUCCCGGAAGUCCAAAACCAACAGACUUAAAGUGGUGACUCUAAAGGAGAUCCAAGAGGCGGUGUCCCUCAUCAGACAGAGGGUCAGAGCGAGACCUGCAGCAUGACAUCAGAGGACAUUUUAAAUGUUUUACUUUUUAAUAAUAAAGGUGUUUUUUUUUUAUAAGGGAUUGUCUCAUUCAGUUUACAAUUUAAGGCAUUUUUCUCAUGCUUUAUAAUGCAUUUGUUGUUGUGGGGUUGUUGUUUUUUAGACCGGGUUUUCAUUUCAAUUUAGGUCUCUUAAACCCGUUCUGAGCCCAGUUAGUCCUAUUUGAUUUUGCUCUAGUCCAGGGACGUGCACAGAGCCCUGGUGGGUGGGUGGUGUCGUGAGUUGCCCUCUUGUCUUGGUUAAGCACCUGCCCCUCAAAAUGUCUGUGCACGUCACUGCUCUAGUCUUUGUGUAAUGUUACGCCUUAAAGUAGGCUACCCCAGCCUAAUAUUUGAGAACCACCGCUCUCAGUAUUCAGGAGGAGUGUAAUCUGGUGCCAUCUAGGGAUGAGAGGUGCUAUUGCAAUUCCAUCACUGAGUUUAUGCUAAAAUGUAAAUUAAACGUGAUCUUUCUCGAAAUGGCUUGGUGCGUAAAGUUGAGGAAGUAGGUCUUUCAUGAUGCUUAAAUCUGAGGUUGGUAACUCUGAUGCCUUAUGCUUUCAUUCCCUUUCAAUAUAAUUGCAAAUUGCGUUUACCAGUCACACAAUGGUUAAAAUCCACCUGCGCAGGCGUCCUCCCCCCUCUUUCCACCUCAGGACUCGUUUUUUCAUCCCGAUGAGCUGCGCGGACGCACAACCCUCUUCCCUUUACACCUCUCUGACCUUUGAGAUAAUGUAGCCUAUGUGUUAUCUAAUUACGCUACAAAGAAACUGUUGGACAGCGCGUUUGUUUCAGUGAACUGAAGAGGCAGAACCGAGCGCUCCUUCUG